This 190-nucleotide non-coding RNA is filed under the name uncultured Symbiodinium. The record is from RNAcentral. Lineage: Eukaryota; Dinophyceae; Suessiales; Symbiodiniaceae.
AAAAUAGGUCACGCGAUAUUGGUCUGCAAUCGCAGUUUCCCUUUUCUUUCUUAUUUUCUGAAUACUUCGGCAAAUACACAAUAUUUAUAACAACAUGGCAUGGUCAUGGGUGGUGAUCACUGAUGUAAAAUAUGAGCGAACCGACUUCUGAUUUUUAUUUAGCGAUUUUUCAUUAAAAAACUUUUGAAUU